CGUUAAUGUCAUGUCUCUCGGGCGAGGCUCUUAAAUCCCUGAAGAGCAAGUUUAAAUCAAUCACCGUAAUUAACGCUCAGCAUUGUACCGCUAGAAUAAAGAUUAGAAGGUACUAUUUUGGAGCAACCAAUUAAAUAGCGAUAAAAAUAUUCCAGUGGAUAUAAUGAUUACCAAGUAAAGCAAGGACUAAGAUAAAUAAUUCCCGUGUGAUUUGCAUCUUCGAAGCUGGAUUUAACCUCGAUCCAAACACGUGGAUGUAGUAAAUGAGAAUAGACGUAGAUGUUAGUUUUCUCGUCGACAUCGAACGGUUCUCACCGCUCCAGUGUACUGCACGCGCGUGAGAUCUGUUGUACAGUAGCAGCAGUCAGUAGCGAAGACGCGUCUCGUAGAUGGAAAAACAUUUUUUAGAGAAGAAAAAUUAUGUUGAUUAAAUUCACUUCAAGAUCCUAAAGGCACGUGCAGAGGCUUCUUUAUGAAUGGCAUAUUAUAACAGAGGGAGAAAAGGACUAAAGUAUUAUCUUAUAAUAAAAUCCACUUAAGCAUUUGCGGAUGCAAAAAAGGCUUCUGAGAACUGUCUGUAAAAGCUUUUCUGUAGCAGGAUAAAAAUGUCAGUC
Long non-coding RNA from Chelonus insularis, 614 nucleotides. RefSeq lists it as uncharacterized. NCBI's taxonomy places the organism in Eukaryota, Metazoa, Arthropoda, Insecta, Hymenoptera, Braconidae. The transcript has 3 exons. The record is from RefSeq and is a predicted model, not a curated record.